This 210-nucleotide unclassified non-coding RNA is filed under the name plant metagenome. RNAcentral describes it as "partial contains small subunit ribosomal RNA and internal transcribed spacer 1". The stretch from base 1 to 46 matches the Rfam family "Eukaryotic small subunit ribosomal RNA", at positions 1786 to 1831 of the family's 1831-position model. The record is from RNAcentral.
AAGUCGUAACAAGGUUUCCGUAGGUGAACCUGCGGAAGGAUCAUUAAAGAAUUAGGCUUCGCGGCCAAGUUCUCACCCUUUGUAUACCGAAACCAUGUUGCUUUGGCACGGCCCCCUUGCAUUGCUGCCGGUCCUGGGCCCUAGCAAGGAUUGAUUAAAACCCAACCUUAAGGAAAUCUCUGCUGUCUGAGUACUAUACAAUAGUUAAAA